GAAAUGCGAUAAGUAGUGUGAAUUGCAGAAUUCAGUGAAUCAUCGAAUCUUUGAACGCACAUUGCGCCCCUUGGUGUUCCAUGGGGCAUGCCUGUUCGAGCGUCAUUUGUACCCUCAAGCUCUGCUUGGUGUUGGGUGUUUGUCCCGUCUCCGCGCGUGGACUCGCCCCAAAGUGAUUGGCAGCCGGCGUACUGGUCCCGGAGCGCAGCACAUGUCGCGCAAACGAGUGCCUUGGUACGGCGGCGUCCAUAAGCCCCUCUCUCACGCUCUUGACCUCGGAUCAGGUAGGGAUACCCGCUGAACUUAAGC
This 309-nucleotide unclassified non-coding RNA is filed under the name plant metagenome. RNAcentral's name for it is "partial contains 5.8S ribosomal RNA, internal transcribed spacer 2, and large subunit ribosomal RNA". The stretch from base 1 to 105 matches the Rfam family "5.8S ribosomal RNA", at positions 50 to 154 of the family's 154-position model. The record is from RNAcentral.